UACCAGCACCCCGAGUGGUCGGGACGUUUAUUGGGCCUAAAGCAUCCGUAGCCGGUUCUACAAGUCUUCCGUUAAAUCCACCUGCUUAACAGAUGGGCUGCGGAAGAUACUAUGGAGCUAGGAGGCGGGAGAGGCAAGCGGUACUCGAUGGGUAGGGGUAAAAUCCACUGAUCCAUUGAAGACCACCAGUGGCGAAGGCGGCUUGCCAGAACGCGCUCGACGGUGAGGGAUGAAAGCUGGGGGAGCAAACCGG
RNAcentral lists this ribosomal RNA (253 nucleotides) under uncultured bacterium. RNAcentral describes it as "partial 16S ribosomal RNA". It matches the Rfam family "Archaeal small subunit ribosomal RNA", at positions 474 to 727 of the family's 1478-position model. The record is from RNAcentral.